UUGAAAUGGAUUGUGCUAAUCUUAUGGAGAAUUUGAAUUGAACAUUGUGUUCUUUUCUCAGAUAAGUGGAACCAGUUUCCCAAUCGGUGGAGACAAUGGUAUGAUGGGUGCAGAUAAUGAGAGGGCUGAAGGGCCGCAGACUAUGCUUUUGGUGGAGGAGGGCAUUAGGAAGGUUGACACGGAGUUUGCUUGCAUCUCAUACUUAACACCAUGGCGCUGGUGCAACCAAGCUGUAAGAUGGCUGGCAUGGAAGACUGGUACCACACUUGCUGGGCUCGUGUUACCAGAUACAUGGAGCUGGGAGAAAAUUGUCGGAUCACCUGCUGUUCAAGGCAGAGAUAGGCUCCAUGGCUCAGGCUCAUUCCGAUGGAGAGUUGAGGUACCUCCAAUUACUCUGAGGAUGGAAUGCAUAAAGAAAGAAGCAUGGAACCCCGAAGAAGGUGGUAAGGUUGAGCAUGUAUUGGAGGUUGUUGUUGGCAUGGGAGGUCUGCCGACUAUGGAUGAUGAUUACUUCCUCCCCGUGGUAGGGUUGAAUAAGUAUCCUGGACCUUACAAGACCCAGAUGCUCGGACUGACGGAGUAUGUCAAACCCCUGACCGCCAUAGAGACAGCCAGGCUUAUUCGUCAGAGAGGGCCGAUCAUUGGUGCACUGGCGGUUAACCCACCCCACUACUUCUCUUAUCGGGCGGAUGCAAAACAGCGAGCCAAAAGAGUGUACAGAGGCUGUCCCGAGUCUGCAAUAAUUGCCCGUAAGGCGGCCUGGCACGCAGUUGUCUGUUUUGAGAAUAGGUUCGUGAAGAGUUUGAUUGGAGAAGAGCUUCAGCUGAAGAUUAUGGACAGCCACAGCCCAGACGGACCUCGGAGGUGGAUCUGUUUUGAUGCCUUCGACAGGUUCUGUCUGCCAGUCAUUUGCCGGCCGCCGUGUCCCCGCCCGUCGUCAUCGGAAUAGAUCUGUUCUUACCUGUGUAGAGUAACUCUGUCUGUUGGGGUAGUCGCUUCUUCUUAUCCUACCCCUGCUUCUUAACUCACUGCAGAAGGGCAGAGCAUGUACCUGGGAAGCUUCAUCUUGUCUUCCCUCGGUGCGUACUUAAUGCAAACGUUAUUACAUUUACAUGAGUACCUGCUGCUUCUUCUUCUUCCAGUGCGAUGCAUCAACUGUAUUGGAGUAGCUGUU
RNAcentral lists this long non-coding RNA (1174 nucleotides) under Oryza sativa Indica Group (long-grained rice). RNAcentral's name for it is "lncRNA OsKYG_06g0000440". The record is from RNAcentral. Lineage: Eukaryota; Viridiplantae; Streptophyta; Magnoliopsida; Poales; Poaceae.